UUAAAGAGUUCUAUAACUCCCAAACCCAUGUGAACAUACCAAACGUUGCCUCGGCAGGUCGCACCUACCUUGUAGCACCCUAUCCUGUAGGGCCUACCCGGGACGUGCGGGUAAGCCUGCCGGCGGCCCAUUAAACUCUGUUUGAUAUUGAAUUCUGAACCUAUAACUAAAUAAGUUAAAACUUUCAACAACGGAUCUCUUGGUUCUGGCAUCGAUGAAGAACGCAGCGAAAUGCGAUAAGUAAUGUGAAUUGCAGAAUUCAGUGAAUCAUCGAAUCUUUGAACGCAUAUUGCGCCCAUUAGUAUUCUAGUGGGCAGGACCGUUCGAGCGUCAUUUCGACCCUUAAGCCUUAGUUGCUUAGUGUUGGGAGCCUACGGCGACGUAGCUCCUCAAAGUUAGUGGCGGAGUUGGUUCACACUCUAGACGUAGUAAUUUUUUAUCUCGCCUAUCAGUUGGACCGAUCCCCUGCCGUAAAACCCCCAACUUCUCAAGGUUGACCUCGAAUCGGUUCAGACAAACUCGCUAAAUUGAAGCAUCUUAGUCAGCGAAGGAAAAGAAACCAACAGGGAUUGCCCUAGUAACGGCGAGUGAAGCGGCAACAGCUCAAAUUUGAAAUCU
This 618-nucleotide ribosomal RNA is filed under the name fungal endophyte. Its description in RNAcentral is "eukaryotic LSU rRNA". The stretch from base 180 to 333 matches the Rfam family "5.8S ribosomal RNA". Lineage: Eukaryota; Fungi. The record is from RNAcentral.